AUCAUNACCGAGUUAUACUCCAAACCCUUUGUGAACCUUACCAUUGUUAUGUUGCCUCGNNGGGGUUAGCCCCCAAAGCUUCUCCCGCCGGCAGCACUAAAUUCUUAAUUUUANAGCGGAUUAUACUUCUGAAUNCAAUACAAAACAAAUAAANACUUUCCACAACGGAUCUCUUGGUUCUGGCAUCGAUGAAGAACGCAGCGAAAUGCGAUAAGUAAUGUGAAUUGCAGAAUUCAGUGAAUCAUCGAAUCUUUGAACGCACAUUGCGCCCGGCAGUAAUCUGCCGGGCAUGCCUGUCCGAGCGUCAUUUCAACCCUCGAGCCUAAGUUUUUUAAACUGAAGGAUCGGUGUUGGGGCGCUACAGCGGUUCUUCGGAGCAGCUGUAGUGCCCUGAAAUACAGUGGCGGUCCCGCCGCGGCGCCUUCUGCGUAGUAAACUUACAGAUCGCAUUAGGUCCCGGCGAAGGCCAGCCGUCAAACCCUCUAUUUUUAGGU
This 494-nucleotide ribosomal RNA is filed under the name Petriella sordida. RNAcentral describes it as "eukaryotic LSU rRNA". The stretch from base 154 to 307 matches the Rfam family "5.8S ribosomal RNA". Lineage: Eukaryota; Fungi; Ascomycota; Sordariomycetes; Microascales; Microascaceae. The record is from RNAcentral.